This 663-nucleotide ribosomal RNA is filed under the name uncultured cyanobacterium. RNAcentral's name for it is "bacterial SSU rRNA". It matches the Rfam family "Bacterial small subunit ribosomal RNA", at positions 99 to 795 of the family's 1533-position model. The record is from RNAcentral. Lineage: Bacteria; Bacillati; Cyanobacteriota.
CGGACGGGUGAGUAACGCGUGAGAAUCUGCCUUUUGGUCGGGGACAACCACUGGAAACGGUGGCUAAUACCGGAUGAGCCUACGGGUAAAAGAUUUAUUGCCAAAAGAAGAGCUCGCGUCUGAUUAGCUAGUUGGUGUGGUAAGAGCGCACCAAGGCGACGAUCAGUAGCUGGUCUGAGAGGAUGACCAGCCACACUGGGACUGAGACACGGCCCAGACUCCUACGGGAGGCAGCAGUGGGGAAUUUUCCGCAAUGGGCGCAAGCCUGACGGAGCAAGACCGCGUGAGGGAGGAAGGCUCUUGGGUUGUAAACCUCUUUUAUCAGGGAAGAAAAAAAUGACGGUACCUGAUGAAUCAGCAUCGGCUAACUCCGUGCCAGCAGCCGCGGUAAUACGGAGGAUGCAAGCGUUAUCCGGAAUUAUUGGGCGUAAAGCGUCCGCAGGUGGCUAUUCAAGUCUGUUGUUAAAGCACGGGGCUUAACCCCGGAAAGGCAAUGGAAACUGAAAAGCUAGAGUGCAGUAGGGGUAAAGGGAAUUCCCGGUGUAGCGGUGAAAUGCGUAGAGAUCGGGAAGAACAUCGGUGGCGAAAGCGCUUUACUGGACUGCAACUGACACUCAGGGACGAAAGCUAGGGGAGCGAAUGGGAUUAGAUACCCCAGUAGUC